UCAGGUACUGGAGGUCCGAACCCACUAAUGUUGAAAAAUUAGGGGAUGAGCUGUGGAUAGGGGUGAAAGGCUAAACAAAUCCGGAAAUAGCUGGUUCUCCCCGAAAACUAUUUAGGUAGUGCGUCAUGUAUCACUUGCGGGGGUAAAGCACUGUUAUGGCUAGGGGGUCAUCGCGACUUACCAAACCAUGGCAAACUCUGAAUACCGCAAAGUGCGAGCAUGGCAGACAGACAGUGGGUGCUAACGUCCAUUGUCAAGAGGGAAACAACCCAGACCGCCAGCUAAGGUCCCCAAGACACAGUUAAGUGGGAAACGAAGUGGGAAGGCAUAGACAGCUAGGAGGUUGGCUUAGAAGCAGCCAUCCUUUAAAGAAAGCGUAAUAGCUCACUAGUCGAGUCGUCCUGCGCGGAAGAUGUAACGGGGCUCAAACUGUGCACCGAAGCUGCGGAUAUCGAAAGAUAUGGUAGGGGAGCGUUCUGUAGGUCUGUGAAGGUGUCUUGUAAAGGAUGCUGGAGAUAUCAGAAGUGCGAAUGCUGACAUGAGUAGCGAUAAAGGGCGUGAAAAGCGCCCUCGCCGAAAGCCCAAGGUUUCCUACGCAACGUUCAUCGGCGUAGGGUGAGUCGGCUCCUAAGGCGAGGCAGAAAUGCGUAGUCGAUGGGAAACAGGUCAAUAUUCCUGUACCGAUUCUAGAUGCGAUGUGGGGACGGAGAAGGUUAGGUCAGCCGGGUGUUGGACGUCCCGGAUUAAGCGUGUAGGCGUGCCCCUUAGGCAAAUCCGGGGGGCUGAGCUGAGGCGUGAUGACGAGGAACCACGGUUCCGAAGUGAUUGAUACCAAGCUUCCAGGAAAAGCCACUAAGCUUCAGUCUAGAGUUGACCGUACCGCAAACCGACACAGGUGGGCAGGAUGAAAAUUCUAAGGCGCUUGAGAGAACUCAGGAGAAGGAACUCGGCAAAUUAACACCGUAACUUCGGGAGAAGGUGUGCCCCGGUAGCGUGUAGAGACUUGCUCUCGAAGCGCGAUGGGGUUGCAGUGAAAUGGUGGCUGCGACUGUUUAAUAAAAACACAGCACUCUGCAAACACGAAAGUGGACGUAUAGGGUGUGACGCCUGCCCGGUGCCGGAAGGUUAAGUGAUGGGGUGCAAGCUCUUGAUCGAAGCCCCGGUAAACGGCGGCCGUAACGAUAACGGUCCUAAGGUAGCGAAAUUCCUUGUCGGGUAAGUUCCGACCUGCACGAAUGGCGUAACAAUGGCCACACUGUCUCCUCCUGGGACUCAGCGAAGUUGAAAUGUUUGUGAAGAUGCAAUCUACCCGCGGCUAGACGGAAAGACCCCAUGAACCUUUACUGUAGCUUUGCAUUGGACUUUGAACCGGUUC
This 1375-nucleotide ribosomal RNA is filed under the name metagenome. RNAcentral's name for it is "bacterial LSU rRNA". It matches the Rfam family "Bacterial large subunit ribosomal RNA", at positions 759 to 2135 of the family's 2925-position model. The record is from RNAcentral.